AGAGUUUGAUCAUGGCUCAGGACGAACGCUGGCGGCGCGCCUAACACAUGCAAGUCGAACGAGAGAGAGGAAGCUUGCUUCCUCAAUCGAGUGGCGAACGGGUGAGUAACGCGUGAGGAACCUGCCUCAAAGAGGGGGACAACAGUUGGAAACGACUGCUAAUACCGCAUAAGCCCACAGGUCGGCAUCGACCAGAGGGAAAAGGAGCAAAUCCGCUUUGAGAUGGCCUCGCGUCCGAUUAGCUAGUUGGUGAGGUAAUGGGCCCACCAAGGGCAACGAUCGGUAGCCGGACUGAGAGGUUGAACGGCCACAUUGGGACUGAGACACGGCCCAGACUCCGUACGGGAGGCA
This 351-nucleotide ribosomal RNA is filed under the name uncultured bacterium. Its description in RNAcentral is "bacterial SSU rRNA". It matches the Rfam family "Bacterial small subunit ribosomal RNA", at positions 8 to 350 of the family's 1533-position model. The record is from RNAcentral.